This 434-nucleotide ribosomal RNA is filed under the name uncultured Blautia sp. RNAcentral's name for it is "partial 16S ribosomal RNA". It matches the Rfam family "Bacterial small subunit ribosomal RNA", at positions 341 to 792 of the family's 1533-position model. The record is from RNAcentral. Lineage: Bacteria; Bacillati; Bacillota; Clostridia; Lachnospirales; Lachnospiraceae.
ACGGGAGGCAGCAGUGGGGAAUAUUGCACAAUGGGGGAAACCCUGAUGCAGCGACGCCGCGUGAAGGAAGAAGUAUCUCGGUAUGUAAACUUCUAUCAGCAGGGAAGAAAAUGACGGUACCUGACUAAGAAGCCCCGGCUAACUACGUGCCAGCAGCCGCGGUAAUACGUAGGGGGCAAGCGUUAUCCGGAUUUACUGGGUGUAAAGGGAGCGUAGACGGAAUUGCAAGUCUGAUGUGAAAGGCAUGGGCUCAACCUGUGGACUGCAUUGGAAACUGUGAUUCUUGAGUGCCGGAGGGGUAAGCGGAAUUCCUGGUGUAGCGGUGAAAUGCGUAGAUAUCAGGAGGAACACCGGUGGCGAAGGCGGCUUACUGGACGGCAACUGACGUUGAGGCUCGAAGGCGUGGGGAGCAAACAGGAUUAGAUACCCUGGUA